Long non-coding RNA from Pezoporus occidentalis (night parrot), 3117 nucleotides. RefSeq lists it as uncharacterized. The record is from RefSeq and is a predicted model, not a curated record. The transcript has 3 exons. Lineage: Eukaryota; Metazoa; Chordata; Aves; Psittaciformes; Psittacidae.
AGGCCGCUGCUGGCCAAGGUUCAGCCCGUCUGCAGCGGUGGUAGCACCUCUAGGAUAAUGUAUUUAAGAAGGGGAAAAAAAAAAAAGCUGCACAACAGCCAGAAGAGAGGAAUGACAAAGUGUGACACGGUUUAAUGGUGGAUUUGGGAGUCCUGGGGUAGAGGUUGGACUUGAUCUUUAAGUUCUUUUCCAAACUAGUUGGUUCUACAGUUCUAUGAUUCUAAAAGGAAAAUUUAAAAGGGUAAACCAUAAGUAGAAAUAGACGGCCACAGAUUCUUUUCAAAUCUCUCUUAUACUUGUGUCUACAGUACCUUGAGAAAACAUUAGAAAUAAAAAUUCCUUCUUAAAAAAGAAGUUGGAACCAGGUGAAGAAAGUAGAAUAAACUAUAAACUCUGGCUAAGUUCAGCUGCUAUUCACAUGAGACUGCUAAAGAAAGUACUGAAAUUUCCAAUCAGUUAAUUUUCUGUAUAGUCUCUUGAUUAAAUUGCUCUCAGGAAUAAGGAGGGCAUGCUAGGAAACUGGUUUAGCCAACAUGGGGAAGCUAUGUCCCAGUGCCAGAAGCAAACAAUACGUAUGUCUCUAGAGCCUGUUGUCUACGACGUGGAAUUAGAGUUGGGUCCUUGUUCGUACUUCCAGAAUAAUCUGCCUCAAGAGUUCCUGACAAUACAUCUUUAGGGUAAUUAACUCUACUGAGAUUCCAUGUUAUUAUAUUUCAACUUUAGCAAAGCAUAGGGACAGAAAUCCUACAUGUUCCACUUCUUUGAAUAGUUGCUACUGACAAUUUUAUUCCUUUGUGGGCUCAAAUGUUUCUUAGAAGCCUGGGGUACACUAAUCAGCUAAUGGAAAAAAAUGGUGGCACCUUCAGUAAACACCUAUAAACAGUCUCUUUGUGGGAAAAGUAGUUGAUCUCUGAUUAUUUCCUGCAGAAAACAGGAAUUUAUGUUUGUUAUAAAAGAAAUAAGGUUUUUUAAGGUGGUAUCCUUACAGCUGAAUUCUUUCUAACUAGAAGAUUCCAUUUUUUGUUGAAAUGCAGGCUGGUUAAAUUUGAACUCUGUAGUGAACAACUGGUUUCAGCAGCUUCAGGUAAGCUCUACUACAUAACAGGUUUCAGGUGCUUCAGGCUUCCUGCCAGAAAGGCAGGAGCCUAAACUCUGUGCUCUUCAUCUUGAACCAGAAAACCCAGCAGUUCCAGUAAUCUUAAAGUUAGACAGUCCUCUGGCUUCUUUAGAAAAACAAGGAGAGCAAUCUCAUGCAAACACAACCCCAGGAAACAUCAUUUCAGUGCAAAAAUACUUGUUUCAAAGAUAGCUAAACAGUGUUUCUUAGCCUGUGUUGCUUGUGAUUAAUUUUGGGUUGUUUUUUUUGGUCACUUGUUUUUGAUUUAGAAUUAAUCCAGAUGUGUUGACUUUCCAAAGUUUUUGAAAAUCAGAAUUCUCAAGUUCAGGCCAAGUCCAUUAUCAUUUCUAAAAUUACUCACCUGAGCAUCUUCUGAAAGUGGAAGAGCAGAAGAGAGAAAAGUCACAUCAGGAAAACCUGGGAAAAGCUAAUAAACACUGUAGGAAAAACAGGCAUGGACAAGUUUUUUUUCUUCACUAUUUAUUUCCAUAAAAAUGAAAUCUCAGAGAGGAGAACUGUAGCCAAUAUUUCUCAACAGCUGAAAACUGGUGAGGGAAAUGUCAGUAUUGUCAAAAUCUGAGGCUAAUCCAAGAUUUAUUCCUAGAAGUUAAAAUAGUUUUAUACAAAAUGGACUACUGUGUGUAACAGCAUCAGUAUUCUCUGUUGAAUACAUCACUGUCUAGACUGUGAGCACAAAAUAUUUCAGUCCUCAUCACAGAUUCUCAUCUGAAGAUGGAAGAUCUUGUAGCAUUGAUGGAGUCUCAAAGACUACCCAUUUGAGCUACCAAUAUGGCACUAGAAACAUGAAUUUCUGAUUCCUGCAAUAUGAACAUGGACACAAACCUACAUCUUGACCCAUAUCCGGUGACAUGAGCAUUCCUUUCUUACCAUAAGUAGUUCCACUGGCUUUAGUAAGACUCAUGUGAGUAGCCUAAUUCAACACAUUAAAGCUUAGAAGUCCAAAACAGCUACAGAUACAAAAAAAUAACCAAUAAAACAUGUGUCUGUUGCUUCUUUUAUAGCAUCUACAAAUUCUGAGCUUUAUUAAACUUAGAUGAACCUAAAUGUUUUAGCUGCACAGUUCAUUGUUUUAUCUCUGUGUGCCUUCAUGCCACAGCAGGAGAGCUGCAUGCCUUCGCAAAAUUAAUAUUUCUAAACAUCUGGCAUCCCCUAUAUGAGUUCAUAGACUGUUUGCAGUGAAAGCCUAAGAAAAAAAAAAAAAGUGAAACUAUAGUUUAAAACAAGUUUCCAGAAAUAAAUCUCAACUAGCAGUAUUCUCUAGAGCAUACUCUAGCAAUGUAACUCUUUUAAUAAUGUACCUGCUUCCAUUGGAGGUAUUUUUAAAAGGUGAGUUAAAUUAAUUGAAGAGGUAAACUCCAGCAGUGUGAAAUGGUCCAGCACAGAAUAUACGACCCUGUAUAAUCUUUACUUUCACUCUCACAACAAGAUUGCCGUGUUUACAAAUUUUAAACCAGUCUCUAAGGAGAGAUUUGGAAAUUACACAUACAGAGACACGUACAUAUGCAUCCCUUCAUAUAUACCUUUGGGAAAUUACAAAGAAAAAUAUAAAUAGAUGUCAUCUAAUAGCAUAUUGUAACCAUGUCAGUUGUUACUUGUUGGAAGUUAUAAAUCAAUAAAACCAAAGUUCUGGUAUUUCCAUCAUUGACAAAAACAACAAAACCAAUUCUUAUUUCAAAUAAGAAAAGGGAUGUAAUUCUGUUCUUAUUAAAAGUCUGUGGAGAGGGAGAAAUGAGAAAAGCCUAUUUCAGAAAUUAUUUUGUGUGUAAUAUUUUAAAUGACAUGUUGAGAUACAAAGUGGACUUUUUUAUUGUUCUCUGAAUACUCGAUUCCAGCAUAGGAAACCUAGGCACCCUAAAAGUAAUUAUAGAUGAACCAAGCAAAUGUUUUCAUCCAUUCUGUAUUUUAAUUAGUUUAGUGCCUUGUUUUUACUGUUUUUCAUAAAAAGUGGUAGGUGACACAUCAGCUGAAAAUAUUAUUCA